RNAcentral lists this unclassified non-coding RNA (3852 nucleotides) under Leishmania donovani. RNAcentral's name for it is "gene:LdHU3.23.0480(CDS-product:Zinc_finger_C3HC4_ type_(RING_finger)_containing_protein_putative)". Lineage: Eukaryota; Euglenozoa; Kinetoplastea; Trypanosomatida; Trypanosomatidae. The record is from RNAcentral.
UCGACACAGGGCGGGACCAGCGCUCUCGGGCAACGUCUCCCAACCCUCCCCCCUCAGGCAUCGUGCUCAGGUCCGUAGACCUGUGGAGCUGAGGCUUUCAUCGCUGCCUCGCGAACAAACACACAAAGACAGAGAGCAGCACAUGCCCACCUCUGACGGCCUCGAGCCACCCUCACCGGCGGAUCAGUCCGUGUCGCGCUUCGUGCGCACCCUCGAUGUGUACCCCGUCGCGCCCCCGUACAAGCCGCAUGGCAUCACAGUGCACCCCCGAGCAAACGCAGGUAUGUCGGCAAUGCCAUGUGGCCGUCGCACCUCUCAGCGGCAGCCUGCGCAUGCGCGGGGGUCGGGCUGCAGUUUCGACUGUGCUCGUACUCCCGCGGUGCAUGGCAGAACACCAGGUGCUGUUGCUGCUGCUGCCGCCGCUGGAGCCUCCCCAUCCACGCUGUCAUCUCCCCCAGAGGAGCCAGUGACAGAGGCUGCAUAUCGCCUAAGCCCGCAGGAGGUGCAACGUCGUGCGCAACAGGUGCUAACGGCGCAGGCACGCAGCUUGCUGCUGGCGCGACUCCAAGAACGCUUGCAGCAGGCCCGCGUCGCGCAUGCACAACGAAACGCGACACGCAGCCCCCCAACCUCACCCGCGCCGUUACCUGUGUCUCCUUUCGACACCCACAUGACCAGUGCCUGGCCGAAUAGUGCCUCUUCUGAAGCCGCUGACGGGGCUUGCGCUGCACCUACCCCUGCUAAGGUGGAGUCACUGUCUGAGGAAGCCUCGCCACUCUUUACCACGGAGAUGUCAACAGAUGGAGGCGCUGCCGGUGGGGCUACCACGCGUCCGGGCGCGGCCGCCGCUGCAUCUGCGGUGCAUUCCCCGGCGGAGAUGUCUGUAAUUGACGUGAACCCUUACUCGGCGGUGGAGCUGGUGCGCGUGCAUCGCCUCAAGGGUGUGCCGAACCACAACCGUGGCCUCUUCGCCGGCUUGUCAAGGCGCUACUUUACGACUCGCAGCGGGCACUACACGGUUGGCCGAGACAGCGAGGGAAACCGUCGCGUGCGGUCGGGUGUGUCUGGGUUUAUGUGGAAAGCGCAACGCCACUCCGGCGCUGCCUCUGGCCCCCCGCCGCGGCUCACAAUGCGGUCCCUCUUUGUAGAUGACCGAAUCCUAUUUCAGUGGACGGAGGGCGACUCUUCGUACGGCGUGCAGGACGAUGACGAAUUCAGUGGUCAGCGCGAUGACGGGACGGUGUUUUCCAACGCCUCCGACAUGGACGACGCUCCUCUCGGGCACGCUCUCAAAAGGAUGCUGGAGCACACGUAUGGAAAGAGGAUGACAGCGGAGCAACGGGCAGAAGCGGCGCGGCGGCUGCGGGAGCGCCGUGAGGGCCAGCAGGGCACGAGUGGUAGAUACCGUGUGCGGAGGGGCAAGGGCAGUGAUGAGAGCCCGAACUCGUCCGCCGGUGGAGACGCCAUGACGGACGGCGACGACUCCUUCUUGCUCAGCCUGAAAGACGGUUCAUCCGAUGCCAGCAGGACUGGACAGCAGCGACGGGUUCCAGGAGACAAAGGCUCCCGCAGUGGGGCCGCCUCCCUAAACUCGAAGCGCGGCGUUAUCUUCGUGCAGGACCUGUCGCCGGUCGAAUUCGUGUGUGAUCACAACAUGCUCCCGGUGGUGGACACGCCAAUGCUCUCUGCUGGUGCCACGUCGCACAACCGCAACGACCCUCUUCUCACCUUUGCAGCUUCUGGCCAUCGCUACGCGGCAAGCGCCGACGGAGGCAGUCUGCGACACAGUGGUGAUGGUGACCACCUGAACGCCACGCUCCUCGCCGCACUCUCUUUUUCCUCCCUGGGCCACACCAUGACCGCCGAUGAGGCCGAGGCGCACCGACGCAAGCGUCACUUCCACGUCGGCUUCGAAAACUUAAGCACAGGGAGUAGGCCCGGGGGCGGUGACGGGCCUUCAGGGCUUAUCGAGGUUAAGCGCAGUGGUUCUGGCACCAUCGGCGGCCGCGGCGCAUACGGAUCUCUGUCGCUGCCAAGCUCUGGCGAGCAGCACCGGCAGCUGAGCCACACUGCCUGCCUCUACGCAGAUGAAGAGAUGGUCGUCGUUGACAAACGACUAUCGGCCGCUGCAGGAGGGCCACAGGGCGGCGCAAAGGACACAUCGUCGGUUGCCCCUGGCGCAAGGGGUGGCAGCGGUGCAGCAGGUGGCCUUGGCGGCGGCGGCCGCCACACCGCAAGAAGAGCUGGUGAAGGAAUUUCCUCGGCGACAGGGCAAGGCACGGACGAAGGGCUCACAGCAGAGGAGACGCAGCAGCGCAUCGUGGCAUCUCUCUCGGAGGCCUCCAUCUCUGCCACCGUCACCUCAGAAGACGACUUGAUGGGCCCCCUCAAGGACAACGGCGACAGCGGUAACCUCGACGAGUUCCUCACACACUUCCCUGAGGAGGAGAACCAUGUCCGCCUGCGCCGAGCCGCCAAGAACAUCCUUGACGGCGUGGAGGAUAUGUGGGACGAGGACGACAGCAGCCGCAGCGCCUUCCUGUUGCCAAAAUUCCUCAACCUGAAUUUCCAGUUUCCGGGGCUUGACGAUGUCAUCGGCGGCUCCGAUGGACUCGAUGAUGACGGCGGGCACGACGAGGGCUCAGCAGAUGACGAGCACGAGUCGCUCACCGGCUUUGGCGUCAACGAGGCGGAGCUGAACGAGAAGUUUCGUAUUGAAGCGGAGGAGGAGUGCGGCGACCUUGUGGCUCAGCGUGACGCGCUGCUGGCGGAAAUCGAGGCUCAACGCCAGCUUCUGGACAACAUGGGCGCGGAUGCACACUACCUCUCCGUUGGGCAUGCGCGCACCGGCAUGACGGCGGAGCAGUACGCCAUUAUGCUCACCAGCGAGGUAAGCCGCUACGCCAAGUCGAAUCAGCUUCGCCUGAACCGCAUUCUGGAAGAGAUGUCUGAGCAGCAGCAGAAGGAUGGCGAGGCAUGGACCACUAUUGAGCGCGCUGCGUACGGCUUUCUCGACCGCUUCGGGAAGGAGCGAACUGCGACAGCGGACGUGGGCUGUCAAGUGAGUGACGCCGACCUAUGCUACGUCGACGCCGCUGUGCGCUCGACUGAGGAACAACUAGAGGACUUGUUCAUGCAUGAGAAGGCGCUGGUGAACGCUGUGCGACUCGCCACGGUGGCAGUGGCCAACAUCAUGACUUUUCAUGCCUCGCUGGAGAUGGAGUCGACGUGCCACGAGUGCUUCUUCGUCUUCGACAAGCCGCGGACGCUCUGGCCGUGCGGGCACACCUUCUGCCUCCCCUGUCUCUCCAACAUGUACAACCGUCGCGGAGAGCUCAUCUGCUCCGAGUGCGGGUCCGUCUGUGAGGUCGGGUACACCCCCAACAUUUCAGUGGAGCUCGUCGCCAACUACCAGACGCUGUGCAAGCGCAGCGAAUCCAACGAAGACUCCGAGCCUGAUAGCUCUCUAAACAAGGAGUGCAAGACACAGACGGUUGAGGGUGUUCUGCGCAGUUUGCUGAACGGCCUGCUCUCGGCCCAGAGCAGCUGGACCGCCAUGCCCUCUGAACACUCCCCGCUGAGGAUGGGUGUUGGCGCAUGAGGGAGGCCUCGUGCGCGCACCUAUGUGUAUAUAGCUUCACGUGAGAAGCGCGCAGCCUGUUGUGCGUUCGAUGUAAACUAUUACGGACCGAGACGCGCAACGACACGGAUUUUAGCCCCCGGUGCGUCUCGGUACCUUCAUGCGGUGCCCUCUCGUCUCCUCUCUCUCGUGUUGUGCUGUCGCGCUUGAUGCCUGCUCUGCGCCAUCUGCUGUGAGGGCGCGACUAGCAUACGGGUUAAGGAAACGCAAGC